Molecule: small RNA, 280 nt
Filed under: Histoplasma ohiense
Lineage: Eukaryota; Fungi; Ascomycota; Eurotiomycetes; Onygenales; Ajellomycetaceae
Description: hypothetical lncRNA
Source: RNAcentral
CAGCAUUCAUAUAUUCAUCAUCAAUAAUCAUUUAUCUUGCAGUCUAGUUGUUUGUAUUUCCAAUGCAGCAGCUGCUUCUACAAUUGAAACUGUUGAUUUUUUACUUGUCAAACUUAGUUGUGCUUUUCAGAGUGUAAUAUUCAACAAUUAUUUGCAAUAUAACUCUUCUUAUGACAAUCUUUCUUUGCAAAUAGCAUGUUGUUGAUCUGAUAUAUUUUUCUCAAGAGUCUGUAGAGUUUGAAACAACUUUUUGUAGUUCUGAGGCUCUUGAUUUCAAUGA